UUAAUUGUGGCAGAAAAAGUGCCUAGGUUUUAAGCACCUAAUAUAGGUUUUAACCUCAGUUAAU
Molecule: transfer RNA, 64 nt
Filed under: Rabdotus mooreanus
Lineage: Eukaryota; Metazoa; Mollusca; Gastropoda; Stylommatophora; Orthalicidae
Description: tRNA-Leu
Source: RNAcentral